ACCCCUGAAGAAUUCCAAGCUCAAAACCCUUUACCCCUGAAGAAUUCCAGGGAUCCUCGACAGGGGGGGUACGGAUAUUAAAUGGAAUAGCCCAAUCUCGAUACAGUUGGCGUCUUGGCGAUGUGUCGGAAAUCAAAAGAUCUCGCUAUUUCGUUCCAAUUCCACAUCUCAUCAAUAAAUAUAUUCUUUUGCAUGGUCCGAGUAUCAGGAUAUACUUUAGUACUAACAGUUAAAUAAAUAUAAACCACAUUGGUCGGUCUAGAGAUAUGAAUUUUCUUGUAGGCUUUAUAUUGCCACGCCGCCCAGGCGUGCUUUGUAAGUUGAAAUCUGAUCCAACUUGCUUGAAUUGUAACUCGACACUAGAUUAUAGAGCAGAAAGUCUCAUCACGAUAAAUAUUUAUUUUUAAUUGCAG
Molecule: non-coding RNA, 413 nt
Organism: Paramuricea clavata
Lineage: Eukaryota; Metazoa; Cnidaria; Anthozoa; Malacalcyonacea; Plexauridae
Source: the annotation of a GenBank genome assembly